This 481-nucleotide ribosomal RNA is filed under the name uncultured organism. RNAcentral's name for it is "bacterial SSU rRNA". It matches the Rfam family "Bacterial small subunit ribosomal RNA", at positions 30 to 507 of the family's 1533-position model. The record is from RNAcentral.
AUUGAACGCUGGCGGCAGGCCUAACACAUGCAAGUCGAGCGUGAAAGGGCUUCGGCCUGAGUAAAGCGGCGGACGGGUGAGUAACGCGUAGGAAUCUACCUGGUAGUGGGGGAUAACGUUCCGAAAGGAACGCUAAUACCGCAUACGUUCUGAGGAAGAAAGCAGGGGACCGCAAGGCCUUGCGCUAUCAGAUGAGCCUGCGUCCGAUUAGCUAGUUGGUAGGGUAAAGGCCUACCAAGGCGACGAUCGGUAACUGGUCUGAGAGGAUGAUCAGUCACACUGGAACUGAGACACGGUCCAGACUCCUACGGGAGGCAGCAGUGGGGAAUAUUGGACAAUGGGGGCAACCCUGAUCCAGCCAUGCCGCGUGUGUGAAGAAGGCCUUCGGGUUGUAAAGCACUUUAAGCGGGGAGGAAGGCUUGAUGGCUAAUAUCCAUCAGGAUUGACGUUACCCGCAGAAUAAGCACCGGCAAACUUCGUG